This 1368-nucleotide long non-coding RNA is filed under the name Sorghum bicolor (sorghum). Its description in RNAcentral is "long non-coding RNA (SBIC_LNC013468)". Lineage: Eukaryota; Viridiplantae; Streptophyta; Magnoliopsida; Poales; Poaceae. The record is from RNAcentral.
AAUUGACUUUGACAGAACGUCUGAGGUGUCUUGGGUAGAUUGAGACUCAUAGAUAUGCUAGCUAGCUAGCUGCUAAUAUAUGCUGAGAAAGGUUUCCGUUUACUGAUAUCGACAUCUUGACACAAGGAAACAUGAAAAGAAACGGAAAUUACACAUCCAAUUUGGUCAGAUUUGGGAGAUCCAGAGAAUUGUGUAGGAGCACAGUUACACACAGAGCAAAAAGAAGAAAACCUGCAGGCAUAGGCAUGAGAAAGAGGUUUCUUUGGAUGCACAUCUGAGUUGGGGUUGGACAGAGAAGCACUCCUCUCCGAUUGACUCUUCUUCAUUUCGUCCUCCGGCUUCUACGCUUGCGCACUUGCUUGCACCACCUUCUUCCCUCUAUUUUCUUCCUGAUUGACAUCUGACCAGUUGAACUGUUCAAUUUAUUGCUCAUGUGCUCCAACUCAUCAGGUCACCAUUGGUCAAUGAUGUUGUGGUGUUGUAUAGCUGUGUGAUAUGAACAGCUUACUUGAAUGCAUGAAGCAAGUGCAAUGCAUUCCUGGAGUUAGCUACAGCAUUUGUGGGGGUAUGGCCUGGCCACCAUUACUUCUUCAGAGUUCAGGUUUUGUGCCUAUUUGGCCACAUUUGAACCUAUGAUAUGCAUGUGUGUCUGAUUUGUCCUAACCUAAUUAAGCCAAUGUAGCUAGGAACUUUAGGCAGAUUUAUUCCAUACAGGGUAAAUGGACAUGAAACAAAUGCAAUGUAGAUGUAGCUAUAGGGUGAUGACCAUCCAAGAGUGAGGCUGGAAUGAUUUCUUCUUUGUCGGCGUUGAGACAUCAGGGAAAAAAAAAGAUUGACCACACCAUGGUUGAAUUGACUAGACCGGUAGAGUAGAGUCAAUCCAACGUUGGUGACAGAGAUACAGAAUGGUCGUUUUCGGUAGCCAAACUUGACUUUUGCGGCGGAUUCAGUGUUGAAAAAAAAAAUCAUGUUUUGUUCUCUCAGAAAGAAUAAGAAAUGAGCAUAUAUUCACCUCACAAAUGCUCUACUGACAAAAGGAUGGUAUAAAUUCCUACUCUGCUUGACAACUUUCCUAAAUGAAAUGGGAACAUAUCCAGCUAGGGGACGCCAUUAUUCUUAUUCAUCUCCUCUCCUAAUAGCUAUGGAAUUUCAAGAAAAAAAAAGAAAAGCUAAAUUGGGGGAUGCCAUUAUUCUUAUUCAUCUCCUAAUAUCUAUAGAAUUGGAAAAGGAAAAAAAAGGAAAAGCUAAAUUGGUUUCAGUUUCAAACAAUAAUCCAACUGCAUCAGUUUAAGUUCUUCACCUGUACAGAGUACACUGUAGGUCUAAGCGCUACUUUUUCCAUUUUGUACUUGCAAUAUCAUAUCACAG